RNAcentral lists this ribosomal RNA (513 nucleotides) under uncultured bacterium. RNAcentral describes it as "partial 16S ribosomal RNA". It matches the Rfam family "Bacterial small subunit ribosomal RNA", at positions 28 to 523 of the family's 1533-position model. The record is from RNAcentral.
GACGAACGCUGGCGGCGUGCCUAAUACAUGCAAGUCGAACGAACAGAUGGGAGCUUGCUCCCUGAUGUUAGUGGCGGACGGGUGAGUAACACGUGGGUAACCUGCCUGUAAGAUUGGGAUAACUUCGGGAAACCGAAGCUAAUACCGGAUAAUAUAUGAAACCGCAUGGUUUCAUAUUGAAAGAUGGCUUUUGCUAUCACUUACAGAUGGACCCGCGGCGCAUUAGCUAGUUGGUGAGGUAACGCCUCACCAAGGCAACGAUGCGUAGCCGACCUGAGAGGGUGAUCGGCCACCCUGGGACUGAGACACGGCCCAGACUCCUACGGGAGGCAGCAGUAGGGAAUCCUCCGCAAUGGACGAAAGUCUGACGGAGCAACGCCGCGUGAGCGAAGAAGGCCUUCGGGUCGUAAAGCUCUGUUGUUAGGGAAGAACAAGUACCGUUCGAAUAGGGCGGUACCUUGACGGUACCUGACGAGAAAGCCACGGCUAACUACGUGCCAGCAGCCGCCGUAA